UUUAUAUGAGAGUUUGAUCCUGGCUCAGGAUGAACGCUGGCGGCGUGCCUAAUACAUGCAAGUCGAACGAGUUCUGAUUAUUGAAAGGUGCUUGCAUCUUGAUUUUAAUUUUGAACGAGUGGCGGACGGGUGAGUAACACGUGGGUAACCUGCCCUUAAGUGGGGGAUAACAUUUGGAAACAGAUGCUAAUACCGCAUAAAUCCAAGAACCGCAUGGUUCUUGGCUGAAAGAUGGCGUAAGCUAUCGCUUUUGGAUGGACCCGCGGCGUAUUAGCUAGUUGGUGAGGUAACGGCUCACCAAGGCAAUGAUACGUAGCCGAACUGAGAGGUUGAUCGGCCACAUUGGGACUGAGACACGGCCCAAACUCCUACGGGAGGCAGCAGUAGGGAAUCUUCCACAAUGGACGCAAGUCUGAUGGAGCAACGCCGCGUGAGUGAAGAAGGCUUUCGGGUCGUAAAACUCUGUUGUUGGAGAAGAAUGGUCGGCAGAGUAACUGUUGUCGGCGUGACGGUAUCCAACCAGAAAGCCACGGCUAACUACGUGCCAGCAGCCGCGGUAAUACGUAGGG
RNAcentral lists this ribosomal RNA (569 nucleotides) under Lacticaseibacillus rhamnosus K32. Its description in RNAcentral is "bacterial SSU rRNA". It matches the Rfam family "Bacterial small subunit ribosomal RNA", at positions 1 to 532 of the family's 1533-position model. Lineage: Bacteria; Bacillati; Bacillota; Bacilli; Lactobacillales; Lactobacillaceae. The record is from RNAcentral.